RNAcentral lists this ribosomal RNA (305 nucleotides) under uncultured bacterium. RNAcentral's name for it is "bacterial SSU rRNA". It matches the Rfam family "Bacterial small subunit ribosomal RNA", at positions 334 to 630 of the family's 1533-position model. The record is from RNAcentral.
UGGGCCUACGGGGGGCAGCAGUGGGGAAUAUUGGACAAUGGGGGGAACCCUGAUCCAGCCAUGCCGCGUGUGUGAAGAAGGCCUUAUGGUUGUAAAGCACUUUAAGCGAGGAGGAGGCUCCUGUAGUUAAUACCUACAGUGAGUGGACGUUACUCGCAGAAUAAGCACCGGCUAACUCUGUGCCAGCAGCCGCGGUAAUACAGAGGGUGCGAGCGUUAAUCGGAUUUACUGGGCGUAAAGCGUGCGUAGGCGGCUUUUUAAGUCGGAUGUGAAAUCCCCGAGCUUAACUUGGGAAUUGCAUUCGA